UGCCUACGGGAGGCAGCAGUGGGGAAUAUUGCACAAUGGGGGAAACCCUGAUGCAGCAACGCCGCGUGGGUGAAGGAGCGUUUCGGCGCGUAAAGCCCUGUCAGCGGGGAAGAAGAAAGACGGUACCCGACCAAGAAGCCCCGGCUAACUACGUGCCAGCAGCCGCGGUAAUACGUAGGGGGCGAGCGUUAUCCGGAAUUACUGGGUGUAAAGGGAGCGUAGACGGCAGUGCAAGUCCGGAGUGAAAGCCGGGGGCUCAACCCUGGGACUGCUCUGGAAACUGUAAAGCUGGAGUGCGGGAGGGG
Molecule: ribosomal RNA, 305 nt
Filed under: uncultured bacterium
Lineage: Bacteria
Description: bacterial SSU rRNA
Rfam family: Bacterial small subunit ribosomal RNA
Source: RNAcentral